Molecule: transfer RNA, 63 nt
Filed under: Ictidomys tridecemlineatus (thirteen-lined ground squirrel)
Lineage: Eukaryota; Metazoa; Chordata; Mammalia; Rodentia; Sciuridae
Description: Spermophilus tridecemlineatus (thirteen-lined ground squirrel) tRNA
Rfam family: tRNA
About the family: Transfer RNA (tRNA) molecules are approximately 80 nucleotides in length. Their secondary structure includes four short double-helical elements and three loops (D, anti-codon, and T loops). Further hydrogen bonds mediate the characteristic L-shaped molecular structure. tRNAs have two regions of fundamental functional importance: the anti-codon, which is responsible for specific mRNA codon recognition, and the 3' end, to which the tRNAs corresponding amino acid is attached (by aminoacyl-tRNA synthetases). tRNAs cope with the degeneracy of the genetic code in two manners: having more than one tRNA (with a specific anti-codon) for a particular amino acid; and 'wobble' base-pairing, i.e. permitting non-standard base-pairing at the 3rd anti-codon position.
Source: Rfam by way of RNAcentral
GUGUAGCUCAGAGGUAGAGUGUGUGCUUAGCAUGCAUGAAAUCCUGGAUUCAAUCCCCAGUAC